UGGAGCCUAGAGGACAACGCAUG
Molecule: unclassified non-coding RNA, 23 nt
Filed under: Mus musculus (house mouse)
Lineage: Eukaryota; Metazoa; Chordata; Mammalia; Rodentia; Muridae
Description: oocyte_clustered_small_RNA8577
Source: RNAcentral